UAUCCAUGUUUUUACGCAGUCAAAACUAGCCCAAAUGUCAAUUUCUGGUUUGAUGUCUGAAACCAUGCAUUUGCAAUGAUCUUGACCAUUAAUUUAGCCAGCCCUUGGACAGACUGUGAUGCAGUAUUUGGGCACCGGCAGUAGUGCCAGGAAGAAGAAGAAAAAUUAGUCUAGGCCUAGCCUGACCAGAAUUUGUUCCAACAAAUCCAGCUCAAGUCUAGCCCUGUCGCAGGGUCUUGUUGAGUCAUAUUUUAUUUGUUAUUUCUCUUAUUACUUAAGUGGUCGAGUCAGUUUAGCACUUCCCUAAUAGCUGGUUGAUGGGGAGGAAUUUCCAGUCUGUUUGGGUUUUAUUUUAUUGCUAUUUAGUUGGCUGGAAUAGGAGUAAUCAAUUUCAGUCCUUGAUAUUCUUUAUUAUUUUUGUAUUUGAGUCAAGGAAGGACUCUUCAAUACAGCCUGUGGCUGGAUAUUUUAAUCAGUCUUUGUUUCUGUUUUUUUGUUUCCUUAUCUGUUCAGGAUUGGAUCGGUUGCAGCCUUUCCUUUUCAGUGUCUGAUUCAGUUUACAGAAGUUUUAGAUAAGCAUGUAAAGGCUUAACAUCCCCCCACCCUCGAUUUUGUGAAUGAAGAAAGCUUUGGCUGCAACUAUGGUCUGUAGAUUUCAAGCUGUGGAUUCAGGAGUUGUUUUCUGCUGAGUAUUGUGCAAGGAUCUGGUGGAUUCUAAACUGUGUUCAGGUGGAUUCCUGAAUGUCUUAUCUUUCCAAUCUCCAUUUUCCUUCUCUCCAGGCAGUAUAGGUCAGAUCUCUCUAAUUCUUAAAUCCUGUGAUUUUAUUUCUGUUUCAGUUUCUGAAUAGUUCUGGUCCAUUUCUUUGAGUUAAUCUUUACUCAAACUCUGCUGAAACUUUGUGUCAAAUUGCUUAACUAGUUAUCAGUUUCAGAUUCUGUUUGUCUUCAGUUUUCCAACUGAAUGGUAGAUCCUACUGCAACUCAUUUGUUUUCAGUUUUACAACUGAAUGGUAGAUCCUACUGCAACUCAAUUUCUCAAUCCUGAUUUUCUGGAACUGAUCUCUUCAUUUGAUCCCUGUAGAGACUGUUUAAAGCUUCAUAAUUAUGUUUAAUUUCUAAAUCAGAUUAGUAUUUGAUUCUGUUUUGAAACCCUAAGGCCUUGCCAUCAAAUUUACUGUUUAUUCUGGGUUUUCAAGUUUCCUAUUUACAGUCUCUUCAAUAUUUCUAAAUCUAAUCCUUCAGAGUACUUCCAAACUUUGCUGGAAUAUUCUACUACCUGCUUGAACUACUUGACCAGAAGUUCUUUCUCAUCUGAUCGGUUUUGACUGCAUCGACAAGUUUUCUCUUAGAUCUGGUUCCUCACUUUCAUGCAUGAUGAAAGUUUCGAUUGAGAUAUUUACGUUUAGGUUUUGACAGAAACCGAGAUGAAACCUUGAGUCGAUACUGACUCCUACCAAGUUUCUACCAGUUCUGACCACCCAUGACAUGUUGUGUUUUGCCAUAAAUUCCAGAUUUUGACCCAUAUCUCAGCUUCAGGCUUGGUCGAAACCAGCCUUGAGAAAAAGAUGUCGAUCCUUUUCAUGCAAUUCUAGAUUUCUCUGGGAUUUCUGAACCCUAUUUCUUAGGUGGCCUCAAAAUCCCUUUAGACUAUAUUUGAUGUAGUUGCAUUGUUUGGUAGAGGUUUUAGAUGUGAACGAUUGCAUACAUUUGAAUCAUGGAUAAAUUAAACUUAUGAUAUUGCCAUGCAUGUGUACCCAUUUCAUUUAUCUGUAUCCUGGACUGGUUAAAUAUUUGGGUGCUGGUAGGAUUGGAUGCAGAUCCUUUGUGCCAAAGGACCUGGAUUAUCCCCAUGAGCCAGUCAUGAGAUAGCCAAUGCAUCCUGAGAAUGCUAAUUAAAUACACCUAAGCAAACUCUUUGAUAGCCAGUCGUAUUUCCUGAAAUACCAAUAGAUACUUGUAUUGAGCUCGUGAUUCUGCUUAUGGAAUUAUCCCUGAAAUGCAUUAACAGAGGAUCUGGACUAUUAAGUGCUUAAGAAAUUAUUACUUGGCUUGAUAAAAAUCAAACAAUUUAGGGGCCACAAUCAGAAAGAACAGGAUCAGCAGGAAACCUUCAAGCUUAGGAACUUAUUUGGGUUCUUAUGAUUGGUCCAGGAAUUGGUUACACGCUAGAUCCUGAUUUUUCCGUUGUGAAGAUUGCUGCACCUUAUGCACAGGAGCUAUUAGAUUUAAAAGAGAAGCAGCGCUCCGGAACACAACUUGUCGAGGAGAUAAGGAGACAAGCCAAUGAUGACAUAGAAGUUUCUAUGCUUAGUGGGUGGACCUUGGCGCAACACUAAGGUUGUUCCAUUGUGACCAAGUGGUCACGGGUUCGAGUAAGGAAACAACCUCUCCGUGAAGCGAGGGCAAUGUUGCAUACGUGAUGACCCUCCCUAGACCCCAAAGUGGCGGGAGCCUCGUGCACUGGGUAUGCCUUUUUUUAAGUUUCUAUGCUUCACACCAUUUUAGGAUUAUUCAUUCAGAGGUCAAUUUAAUCUAUUGAUUAUCUUAGUUGACUUACCUUGUUUACCAAAAGAAAAAAAAGAAUGACCUUGUGUAAAUGGAAAUGGAAUUGCCAUUUUUUAUCUCUAAAUCUGUAGAAACAUCAAAGCAUCAUAUAGUUAAUGCUUUUAGUCUAUACACUAAAGAUGGACAUGUUAUGUAUUAAACAUUAGUAGUUAUUGAUUUUUGAUAAAUGUUUGUAGUACUUAGAUAAUCCAAAUGUUCUAUAGUAGAGCUAAAGCGAAUUAAGAAGCACUUCUUAGGUACUAAGUGAGUGAGUGAGAGAUGUUUGAAUAUAUUUUAUCUAUUGUAGACCUGAAUAGAAAAUAGGGCAUAUACGAUGAAGUUUGAUUGUGCAGCAAAAAGAGUCAAUGCAUGUAUGAAGUGCCAGAUGCACAAAAUGUAACAUGUUUUUUUUCCCCCUGCGUGAGACUUGUGCUUAGGCAUUUGUGAGGUGAAAAUUCAUGCUCAGUUAAAUAUUUACAUACAAUCAUGUUUAACUAUAUGAGUCUUAUAAUCUAUUAAGGCUACAUGGUGCCAUGCUGCCAAAAAAGGAUAACAUUUACUCUAUGUGAAGUAAGGAAUUAUUAAAAAAUCUUUGUUUACGAACAUUUGUAUAUUUAAUGACUGAAAUGUGUACAAUGGGAGUGCUGCCAGGCUGCGUGGCCCCUACACCAGCAUGGGGGCCAAUAAGAGUGGUGCAUGGGCAUUCCAAGGGUAGGGUGGGGUGGUCAUUUUACUGCCCCAUGUGAGAGGGUGUAGGAGGGCGUUGCCAGGCUGGAUUUUUAAGCAUGUAACCCUUGAGCCAUAUGGUGACUGGUGCAGAAGACCAGAUGAAGAUCUUGUAUGACUAGCAAUGUAACAAUGUUUUAUCAAAAUAAUUUCCAAAAAAAAAUAAAGGAGAACUUUCCGGGAGGGGCUGUUUUGACAUUUUCUUAUAUUCAAACUUUCUGUUCUAGAUUAUUUUGUUUCAUUCUGUAUUUUAUACUUAAGUUUUCCUUCCAUAACAUAAUAUAUUUGAUGCUUUCAAAAUCUUUGUC
This is an RNA transcript of Macadamia integrifolia, 3578 nucleotides long. It is a transcript of the gene named protein ACTIVITY OF BC1 COMPLEX KINASE 7, chloroplastic-like, with no coding region annotated. The transcript has 3 exons. NCBI's taxonomy places the organism in Eukaryota, Viridiplantae, Streptophyta, Magnoliopsida, Proteales, Proteaceae. The record is from RefSeq and is a predicted model, not a curated record.